Molecule: long non-coding RNA, 598 nt
Organism: Passer domesticus (house sparrow)
Lineage: Eukaryota; Metazoa; Chordata; Aves; Passeriformes; Passeridae
Exons: 3
Source: RefSeq, a predicted model, not a curated record
GUUGCUCCCCUCAGAAGCAGCCAGACAUCACCGGGCCCUCAGCACACACAACCACAGCAGAAGUGCCCGUCUGAAGGGGAAUUUUUUUUUUUUAAUGAAAGAGCCCUUUCAACUCCAGAAGUUACCAGAGGAUGUGGCAAAGCCACUCCAAAUUCCCUGGAGCAGCCCCUGGGAGACUGAUUUACCUGGAGCUGGGAGCAGCAGGCAGUUUAGUGAGCCCUGGGAGUGAGGGAUUAUGAAAGAAAGUGAGUGUUCCAACUAAAAACAAAGAAGAAGAAAAGGGAAGAAGGCUGGAGGUUUGGUGUCAGCCUUCAAGCUGUGAGAAUUCCCUUAAAAACACAGGAAGGGCUCCCAACAAAAUUCACCCCAGAGCAGCUGUGCAGGAUUCAGCUCCUGAAGGAUUUCCUCCUCACCAUGAAUUAACAACAGCACUGUCAAACAUUCCACCAUGGAAUUCCACACUGGUUUGGGUUGGAAAGGACAUCAAGGAUUAUCCCAUUCCAGCCCAGCCAGCAAUUCCUUCCCAAUAUCCCAGUAUCCCAUCUAUCCCUGCUCAGCUUCAGCUUCACACUGAGAAUAAAAUGUCUCUGUAACAAUG